AUCUUCUUUGGGUGUCUUAGCUACUAUAGAUAGAGCAUGUAAACCAGAUUGGAAUUCAUCAGUCAAGAGAUCAUACACCAUACGGUGACGUUUAACAAGAUUCUGUCCGUCGAACUUGUUUGACACAAUUUUGAGAUUGAAAUGUGUCUCGUUUGUUCCGGUUUCCCUGACGGCGGCAUGACCGGCGUGCUGGUAAGAAACGUCUUCGACUUCAAUUAUGUUAGCUUCAAGUGCUGAUUGUAGCUUCGUCUUCAUCCUACUUGCCCUCGACAGAAUCCCUCGUGACGCCAUGCUGAACCCUAAUUUCUUCUCUCUUCUCCGGUAAGCUCUCUGCCGCCGAUACUCCUAAAAAUAAUUGACUGAAG
This 365-nucleotide unclassified non-coding RNA is filed under the name Hevea brasiliensis (rubber tree). The record is from RNAcentral. Lineage: Eukaryota; Viridiplantae; Streptophyta; Magnoliopsida; Malpighiales; Euphorbiaceae.